GCAAGUCGAACGAGAACGGACUAUAACUUUCUAUAGUUGUCAGCUAAGUGGCGCACGGGUGAGUAAUAUAUAGGUAACGUGCCCUAGAGAGGGGGAUAACAUUUGGAAACGAAUGCUAAUACCCCAUAUGCCUUUAAGUCUUAAGACUGCAAGGGAAAUAUUUAUAGCUCUAGGAUCGGCCUGUACGGUAUCAGUUUGUUGGUGAGGUAAUGGCUCACCAAGACGAUGACGCCUAACUGGUUUGAGAGGAUGAUC
Molecule: ribosomal RNA, 255 nt
Filed under: uncultured bacterium
Lineage: Bacteria
Description: partial 16S ribosomal RNA
Rfam family: Bacterial small subunit ribosomal RNA
Source: RNAcentral